RNAcentral lists this ribosomal RNA (484 nucleotides) under uncultured bacterium. Its description in RNAcentral is "partial 16S ribosomal RNA". It matches the Rfam family "Bacterial small subunit ribosomal RNA", at positions 29 to 507 of the family's 1533-position model. The record is from RNAcentral.
AUUGAACGCUGGCGGCAGGCCUAACACAUGCAAGUCGAGCGGAUGAAGGGAGCUUGCUCCUGGAUUCAGCGGCGGACGGGUGAGUAAUGCCUAGGAAUCUGCCUGGUAGUGGGGGAUAACGUCCGGAAACGGGCGCUAAUACCGCAUACGUCCUGAGGGAGAAAGUGGGGGAUCUUCGGACCUCACGCUAUCAGAUGAGCCUAGGUCGGAUUAGCUAGUUGGUGGGGUAAAGGCCUACCAAGGCGACGAUCCGUAACUGGUCUGAGAGGAUGAUCAGUCACAUGGGGACGGAGAGGCGGCCCAAACUCCUGCGGGAGGCAGCAGUAGGGAAUGUGCGACAAAGGGCGAAAGUCUGAUGGAGCAAGGCCGCGGGGGUGAAGAAGGGCUGCGGAUCGUAGAAGCCUGUGGGUAGAGAAGAAAGUGCGUGAGAGGAACUGUUCACGGGUAGACGGUAUCUAACCAGAAAGCAACUGCUAACUACGUG